Pongo pygmaeus (Bornean orangutan) is the source of this 2724-nucleotide long non-coding RNA. RefSeq lists it as uncharacterized. The transcript has 3 exons. Lineage: Eukaryota; Metazoa; Chordata; Mammalia; Primates; Hominidae. The record is from RefSeq and is a predicted model, not a curated record.
UGAAAGCCUCUGAGAUAAAAAUACACAAGAUCGGUGAACACAGAGAGAGUCACUGAGACAAGCUUAGGGUUGACCCUAAGCUUGAACCAGAGGGAAAACUCAGACCUCCACCGAGUAGGAUGGGCGGUAGGAGGCUGGGGUGCAAUGACCCUGAAGGAUGCUGAGGGACCCACCACUGCUCCUGUGACCUCCACCUGACGUUCCUCAGGGAAGUGACACCCCCUCCAAAAUAUGCAACGAGAGAGGCCCUGGGGAGAUGCAGGCUUGGGUUUCAGAUGUGGGCGAUUCUCACAGCUCCACUUCUAGGCCUUGAUCUGCAGCCCGCUCACUCCACGCCGCUGAGACUCAGUUUUCUCAUCUGCCAAGUGAGAGGUCUGGAUUUGGAGAUGAUUAUUACAGCUAAUAUUUGCUGAACAUUUACUGUGUGCCAGGCAUCGCGCCAGACACUUUGCAUCGGUACCUCGUUCAGCCUUCACAUCCGCCCAGUGAGAUGGAAAAACUGAGCCCAGAGUGGGGCCAGGACAUGCCCAACAUCACAGCACAGAUGAAGACACAGCCAGGACCAGAGCCCAAAUCUCCUACACCAGUGGGCUUUCCCCCCUGAGCCUGAACAUGGAGUCACCACUGGCUCAGUGAUUACUGAGUGGAAAGGGAUUCGAGACGGCAGAGCACUGUGCGGGGAUAGCUGGGCAUGAGGGGAGAGAACGCAAGCCUCAGCUGGGAAUCGGGAACUCUUGGAUUCUCGUCUUCACAGAUUGACUUAAUUCACCACUUCAGAGAGGUCUGUGCGUUCACUUGUUCAUUGAUUCAUUUAUUCAACAAAUGACUUCUUAGGUAACCUCUCUGGACCUCAGUCUCCUGAUCUGUAAAUGGGCAGAAUGCCUUUCCCAGGAUGGUUGUGAAAACAAAUGAGAAAACAGGUGGGCAACUUCUGGUGACUGAGCACAGGUGCAUGCGUGGUUGCAGCAGAUGGCAGUGCCGCCCACGUGCCUCGGCUAUUCCUGUGGCUCAUGCCUAUGGGACAGCUUCCAACCACAGCACCUGCAACUCCCCCCGCUCCACGACAGUGUUCUCUGGUCAGUGGUGGGGGACAAGCCAGAGUCCUGGGAGUUAGCACUCCCCUAGGAGAGACUCUCAAGCAAUGAUGGAACGGAGCCGAGGAAUACACACUCAGUUCCCUCCCCGCUCAGCUGGGGUAACUCAGCUGUGUUCUACCUGUCUUCCCAGGCUCCCCAGUGGGAUGGAGCCCCGGUUGCCCACAGCAGUAACUUGCUGGCUAAUGCAUAUUUCUCCCUGGCUUCUUCCCCACCCCCUUACAGGUACUCCUUGGGAUCAUAAAUGAACUACCUGCAACUCACAUCCUAGUGUGAGUUGCAGGGUCUGCUUUCAGAUCAGCCCAGACUCAGGCAUGAACACAUCACAUGUCAUCUCAUCUCACCUUCACAACACCCCUGGGAGGUGGGCCUGCUGUCCCACUCUACAGAAACAAAUGCUCAGAAAGCUUAAGGUCAUUGUCAAGAAAAUGGCAGAUAUGGAAUUUCUCCCCAGGACUGUCUGUCUCCAGAGACAACACUCAACUAUCAUGUUAUGCGUCAUCCCACCUCACCCCCAGGGACCUCCCUCAUAAUGGAAGCAGCAGCAAAGACUUCAUAAUGAACAGCACCAGGUAAGUGCUUGUGGAGAUGAGAGCAUUGCAACGUUGCCUGCUGUCCUGCAGGCAGUGGUCCCGCAGCAAUCCACCAUGUUUCCUGGGGACAUGAGACCUGAGCUGGGUGUUUAAGGAUGCACUGGAGUUGUCCAGGUGGUGAAUAAGAGAAUGCACUCCAGGCAGAAGGAAGAGCAGGUGCAAAGGCUUACAGACACAAAAGAGGGUGUUGUAUUUAAGGAAUGCCGGAAAGCAAUGAAGAUUCUAGAGGCACCUGCACUCCUUGGCUUGUGGCCUCUUCCUCCAUCUCAAAGUACAUCGCUCCAAUUUCCGCUUCUGUCAUCACAUCGCCUUUUCCUCCAGCUCCAACUCCUCCUGCAUCCAUCUGAAAAGGAUAAUCCAGGAUAUUCUCCCCAUCUCAAGAUCCUUCAUCACAUCUGCAAAGUCUCAGAUAUGGGUGGGGCUGAGGAUAUAAUCAGUUCUGGGCAAAAUUCCUCUGGAUGUACAGAUUUGUGAAACUAGAAAACAAGUUUUCUGCUCCCAAAAUACAGUGGUGGGACAGCAUAAGACAACAGUUACAGACAUUUCCAUUCAAAUAGGGAGAAAAUGGAAGGAAAAAAGGAGUCACCAGUCCCAAGCAAUUUCAAAAUCCAAUCAGACAAACUCCAUCAGGUUUCAAGGCCUGGGAAAAGUCCUCUGCCCUCCAUAGGCAAAACAGCAACAACAGCAGCAACUUUGGACCUUACCUCACACCAUCUAUAAAAAUGAACUCAAAUGAAUUAUAGUCCCCUAAAGAAGCAUUAUGCUAAGUGGAAAAGCCAGACACAAAAGCACACAUUGUAUAGGAUUCAAUACAUAUUAAAUUCUAGGAAAUACACCAGCUAUCAUGACAGAAGGCAGAUCAGUGACGGCCAGUGGCCAGGUAGCAGGGGAAGAAACUGAUUGACCACAAAGUAGUGUGGGGUGGUUUUGGGGGUGAUGGAAAUGUUCUCACAACUGUAUAUGUUUUCAAAACUCAUCCAACUAUAUACUAGAAAGGGUGAUUUUUAUUUUAUGUAAACUAUACCCUAUUUUUUUUU